RNAcentral lists this ribosomal RNA (310 nucleotides) under uncultured bacterium. RNAcentral describes it as "partial 16S ribosomal RNA". It matches the Rfam family "Bacterial small subunit ribosomal RNA", at positions 503 to 807 of the family's 1533-position model. The record is from RNAcentral.
AAGAGACAGCAGCAGCCGCGGGAAUACAGAGGGUGCGAGCGUUAAUCGGAUUUACUGGGCGUAAAGCGUGCGUAGGCGGCUUUUUAAGUCGGAUGUGAAAUCCCUGAGCUUAACUUAGGAAUUGCAUUCGAUACUGGGAAGCUAGAGUAUGGGAGAGGAUGGUAGAAUUCCAGGUGUAGCGGUGAAAUGCGUAGAGAUCUGGAGGAAUACCGAUGGCGAAGGCAGCCAUCUGGCCUAAUACUGACGCUGAGGUACGAAAGCAUGGGGAGCAAACAGGAUUAGAUACCCCGGUAGUCCCUGUCUCUUAUAC